ACCAGAGUAACUGCUGGUACCUUGACGGUACCUAACCAGAAAGCCACGGCUAACUACGUGCCAGCAGCCGCGGUAAUACGUAGGUGGCAAGCGUUGUCCGGAAUUAUUGGGCGUAAAGCGCGCGCAGGUGGUUCCUUAAGUCUGAUGUGAAAGCCCACGGCUCAACCGUGGAGGGGCAUUGGAAACUGGGGAACUUGAGUGCAGAAGAGGAAAGUGGAAUUCCAAGUGUAGCGGUGAAAUGCGUAGAGAUUUGGAGGAACACCAGUGGCGAAGGCGACUUUCUGGUCUGUAACUGACACUGA
This 302-nucleotide ribosomal RNA is filed under the name Bacillus sp. mrc49. RNAcentral's name for it is "bacterial SSU rRNA". It matches the Rfam family "Bacterial small subunit ribosomal RNA", at positions 449 to 749 of the family's 1533-position model. The record is from RNAcentral. Lineage: Bacteria; Bacillati; Bacillota; Bacilli; Caryophanales; Bacillaceae.